GAGACGAUCCUGUUCUAUUACUAGAAUAGGCGCAUUUCGAACAGGAAUGUAGAAAAGAAGUUUAUUAAGAAAAAGAACAAAUUUACAAUUGUAGAAAUGAAAUACAUUUUGACAAGGAAUCAAUGAAAAUAUCUGAUCUAUCAACUAGUUGGUAGUAUAGAGGACUACCAAGGUUAUAACGGAUAACGAGAAAUUAGGGUUUGACAUCGGAGAAGGAGCUUUCAAAAUGGCUACUACUUCUAAGGAAGGCAGCAGGCGCGUAAAUUACCCACUUUUAACAGAAAGAGGUAGUGACGACAAAUAACUCUAUUCUUUAACAAAAAGAAUUGAAGGAAUGAACGGAACGUACAUAGUUUUGUGAAAGCAAU
This 368-nucleotide ribosomal RNA is filed under the name Entamoeba gingivalis. Its description in RNAcentral is "bacterial SSU rRNA". It matches the Rfam family "Eukaryotic small subunit ribosomal RNA", at positions 173 to 548 of the family's 1831-position model. The record is from RNAcentral. Lineage: Eukaryota; Evosea; Mastigamoebida; Endamoebidae.